This 253-nucleotide ribosomal RNA is filed under the name uncultured bacterium. RNAcentral's name for it is "partial 16S ribosomal RNA". It matches the Rfam family "Bacterial small subunit ribosomal RNA", at positions 524 to 776 of the family's 1533-position model. The record is from RNAcentral.
CACGUAGGGGGCGAGCGUUGUCCGGAUUUAUUGGGCGUAAAGAGCUCGUAGGCGGUUAGACAAGUCUGAUGUGAAAGCCCACGGCUCAACCGUGGAGGGUCAUUGGAAACUGGGGAGCUUGAGUGCAGAAGAGGAGAGUGGAAUUCCACGUGUAGCGGUGAAAUGCGUAGAGAUGUGGAGGAACACCAGUGGCGAAAGCGGCUCUCUGGUCUGUAACUGACGCUGAGGCGCGAAAGCGUGGGGAGCAAACAGG